AAUUCUCAACCUAUAAACCUUUGCGGGUUUGUAGCGUUGGAUGUUGGAGGCUUUUGCUGGCCCAGUCAGCUCCUCUUAAAUGCAUUAGCUUGGUUCCUUGUGGAUCGGCUGUCGGUGUGAUAAUGUCUACGCCGCACCCGUGAAGCGAUUGGAGAGCUUCUAAUGGUCUCGUCAGAGACAGCUUUUAUGAA
This 191-nucleotide unclassified non-coding RNA is filed under the name Fomes fomentarius. Its description in RNAcentral is "partial internal transcribed spacer 2". Lineage: Eukaryota; Fungi; Basidiomycota; Agaricomycetes; Polyporales; Polyporaceae. The record is from RNAcentral.